AUUCCCUCCGGACUGACCAAGAUUAGGCCCGCGCCUGUGCCCGACAUGUUGGAGGAUCCAUCCAUGUAGAGGGUCCAAAAGCAAUCAGGGGGGUCUGCUUCUUCUUCGGAGGAGUUCGGUCGGGGCUCCAGGCCGUCAAUUUCACCCUAUUCAGAUUCGGCCUCCUCUGAGAUAGUGCAUUCUACUAUAAAAUCUGCCAAUAUCUGAGCUUUCACCACCGAUCUGGAUCGAUAGUUGAUGUCGAAUUCUGUGAGCUCGAUCGCCCAUUUCGCUAUUCUCCCUGAGGCAUCUGCUCGGUGGAGAAUCGCCUUGAUCG
RNAcentral lists this long non-coding RNA (316 nucleotides) under Elaeis guineensis (African oil palm). RNAcentral describes it as "long non-coding RNA (EGUI_LNC080804)". The record is from RNAcentral. Lineage: Eukaryota; Viridiplantae; Streptophyta; Magnoliopsida; Arecales; Arecaceae.